This 184-nucleotide ribosomal RNA is filed under the name uncultured bacterium. RNAcentral's name for it is "partial 16S ribosomal RNA". It matches the Rfam family "Bacterial small subunit ribosomal RNA", at positions 1311 to 1500 of the family's 1533-position model. The record is from RNAcentral.
CUCGACUCCAUGAAGCUGGAUUCGCUAGUAAUCGCGCAUCAGCCAUGGCGCGGUGAAUACGUUCCCGGGCCUUGUACACACCGCCCGUCAAGCCAUGGGAGUCGGGAGUGCCUGAAGUUCGUGACCGUCACAGGAGCGACCUAAGGCAAGACCGAUGACUGGGGCUAAGUCGUAACAAGGUAUC